Molecule: ribosomal RNA, 623 nt
Filed under: Seriola lalandi (yellowtail amberjack)
Lineage: Eukaryota; Metazoa; Chordata; Actinopteri; Carangiformes; Carangidae
Description: partial 16S ribosomal RNA
Rfam family: Bacterial large subunit ribosomal RNA
Source: RNAcentral
UCAAAAACAUCGCCUCUUGCAAAACUCAAGAAUAAGAGGUCCCGCCUGCCCAGUGACACUUUAGUUCAACGGCCGCGGUAUUUUGACCGUGCAAAGGUAGCGUAAUCACUUGUCUUUUAAAUGGAGACCUGUAUGAAUGGCACCACGAGGGCUUGACUGUCUCCUCUUUCAGGUCAAUGAAAUUGAUCUCCCCGUGCAGAAGCGGGGAUGAGCCCAUAAGACGAGAAGACCCUAUGGAGCUUUAGACACGAAGGCAGACCAUGUUAAGGACCCUUGGAUAAAAGAUUGAACUUAGUGGCCCCCUGUCCUGAUGUCUUCGGUUGGGGCGACCAUGGGGAAACAAACAUCCCCCGUGCGGAAUGGGAGGACCACCCCUUUCUUUCUCUUCCCCCUCCUCCCACAACUAAGAGCUACAGCUCUAAUUAACAGAAUUUCUGACCAUAAGUGAUCCGGCAACGCCGAUCAGCGGACCAAGUUACCCUAGGGAUAACAGCGCAAUCCCCUUUUAGAGCCCAUAUCGACAAGGGGGUUUACGACCUCGAUGUUGGAUCAGGACAUCCUAAUGGUGUAGCCGCUAUUAAGGGUUCGUUUGUUCAACGAUUAAAGUCCUACGUGAUCUGAGU